AUGACCCGCCAAGACCAGCACGCGCGCGCGCAGCGCCAUGGGAUUGGGCGUCAGGUCGGUUGGCCAAUGUUCAUGCAUGAUGAGCGUCCAUGUCGUUCCGUCCCGGCGUCGCAUUCGCCUCGCCGUAAAGCUCACGGCUCCGUCCCUACCAACAGCGACACCGACGUCCGACGCCGACGACCCACCACCCUCCGCCUCGCCUCGCCCCACUCCGCCCCGUGCCCGUACCCAUGCGCGCGCGCCGCCCUCGACGCCCGCGUCUCUCACUCGCCGAGGCCUCCUCCGCUGCCACCUUCACCGGCCCAGCAGGGGACGUCCUUCCCCAUGCUGCUCCCGGUCUUCCUCCUCUUCGUCCUCCUCCUCUGCUUCCUCUCCAUCUUCCUCCUCCGCGACCUCCUCCGCUUCUUCUCCCUCUGGCUCCGCCGCCGCCGCCGCCGCCUCCAGUCCAGCGACGCGGACGCCGCAACGGGCGAAGAAGACGCGCCCGCGCCCGCGCCGCGCAAGCCGGCGGGCCUGGAUCCCGCCGUCAUCGCCUCGUUCCCCACGGUGCGGUUCGAGGCCGACGCCGCCGGCUCCGCGGCGCCGGCGGAGUGCGCGGUCUGCCUGUCCGAGUUCGCGCCCGGCGACGCCGUCCGGCCGCUCACCGUCUGCCGCCACGCCUUCCACGCCGCGUGCAUCGACUCGUGGCUCGGCGCGCACACCACGUGCCCGGUCUGCCGCACCGACCUGGGCGCUCCGCCCAACGAGGAGAUCGCCGUCGCGGAAGAACACGGAGACCGUGGCCAGGCUGCAGCGGCGGUCCACGAGGCCACUGGACGCCGGACAACGUCGUCACCUCCGGCAAGUGGCCAGCGGUAA
Molecule: ribosomal RNA, 858 nt
Filed under: Triticum aestivum (bread wheat)
Lineage: Eukaryota; Viridiplantae; Streptophyta; Magnoliopsida; Poales; Poaceae
Description: partial small subunit ribosomal RNA
Source: RNAcentral